Molecule: small RNA, 2013 nt
Filed under: Vigna angularis var. angularis
Lineage: Eukaryota; Viridiplantae; Streptophyta; Magnoliopsida; Fabales; Fabaceae
Description: Non-protein coding transcript
Source: RNAcentral
UUCAUAUAAUAAGUGAAUUUGUUAAAUUCAACAAAAGAUCUGAUGAAACAGAAGCUGACCAAUAAAACCGAAAUGUAAACUUUAGUGAGCUGAAAAAAUUUAGUCAGAGCUGAGCCUGUCCCAGAGAAAAUGCAUAUUGAUUUCUAAACAAUUAUGAAACGGUGGAAUGGUUACAAGAACUUCAAACACAGACAAUUUUGAGCCUUCCAAGAAAAAGUGUAGUUCAAAAUUUUGUUUAGUACACGUCUACAACUUUGUAGUUUAUAAAGCAAAAUGUCUCUUCUCCCUCCUAUUCUUCAAAGGAAGGGAAAGAAAAAACUGAAGAACACAUGUAAACCAAUAGUUGUUUAUCUGAAAGUCUGCUCAACUACGACGGCAUCUUAGGAGAGGAAUAUAUUUUAACCUUUUCUUCAGAUAAGUCACAAUAAUACCACUGAAUUAUAAAAAAGAAGGGUCGGGAGUCCUACAAUAAAGAGAGAAGAAAUGCUAUUUCAUAGUACAGGAGAAAUAACUAGGGAAAAAAUAAGUUUAAAGAAGCAAUGAAGGAAAAUAGCAUGGGCACAUCCUACGAGAGAUAAGCUGGUUAAAAUCUACAGCUAAAAAAGUAUAAUUUAUUAAUUUUGUGUGAAACUGAAUAGAGUUGACUUGGCAUAGAAUAUCUAUCAUUUAAUUUUGUUGAAAAGACAAAAACCAAGAAUACAAAUGAUAAAUUUCUGUGCUUAGACCACAAUAGAGCUAUUCAAUUUUGUAGCAACAAAAUAUUCAAUACUCUAUAUUAGGAUGAUAACACAAAGAUAAAAUCAAUCUAAUUGAUCCUAAUAUCAACGGUUACUAUAUCUAUAGGAUUUUUAUAUAUCUACAAGAUUCUAACAGUCCUUCUCAAGCUCAGGCAUCUAUAAUAUAAGUCAAACUUGUUACAAAUGUCAUCAACACAAGACUCCUUGAGAAAUGAACAUGUUAGUCAAUUAGUUGCUGGAGUUAACAAAGUAUACAAUAACAAAGGUUCACUAUUGAUUUGAGGGCAUGACAGGUGUUGCAAGAGAGGCGCUGGAGAGUAAAAAACUGCUUGGAGAUUGCAGUGGCUACUAGAGAACUAAAUUGGUCAUGGCGAUUACUAGAGCGCAAAAAUACUUGGAGAGCCGGUGACAGCCGAACAACAAAAGAUGCUGAGCGAAAUGACAAUUGUAGAAGAGCUGGACAGCUACCAGAGAGAAAAAAUGUUUAAUGGAGUCGGUUUUCACACGACAAGGUGAUGUCAGUGGUGGAAGUUGUCGGCUAGAGAAAGCUUGUCGGAAAGUCGCUUUUGGUGAACAAUGAACCCGAUGGAAGAACAGAAACCAAUAAAUGCACAUGGUUUCUAACAUUUUCAUUUAUUCCUAUGCUUAGUAGUAUGUUGCUAGGGACUUGGGUAUUAUGGGGUGUCUAAGUCUCACGUUGAGUAACUUGGAAUGCUUGGUGGAAUAUUUAAGUGUUUAGUUCUCCCCUUUAAUAGCUAGCUUUUGAGAGUGGGUUCCCCAAGUGUCAGGGUUCUCAUCAACUAGUUGUCUAUGUCUCUGAAAACCCUAGAGUGAAAUCCCCGCCAAGAUGUUGAUUCUUAGAAGUGGUACUAUGAUAUAAGACUUAGAUACUGUUAUGGGGGUACCUAAGCCCACAUUGAGUAAUAUGGGAUAAUCAAUGAAGCAUUGAAGUGUUUGGUAGCUUUCCCUUAAUAGCUAAGGUCUGAGGGCAGGUUUCCAAAGAGCUUAGGGACUCAUCAUGUUCAUAUCUAUCUAUUAUUAAAUUCCAUAGAGAACUUAUAGUUUUAAAUUUUAAAUUAUAUGUUCAAUGGUAUAUAGUACUCAGCAUGAGCGCGAGUCUAUAUUAACAUUACUCUUUCUUUAUAGAACUUUCAUCCACAUAUAUUUGUAUCAGACGCAAUUCCAAUAAAUACUCUUUCCAAAAUGGAGAAAUUUAUUUGGCUUUGUAGCACCACUCAAAAACAUAAUGCUACCUUGAGUUUCUGAUACAGCUGUC